This 426-nucleotide ribosomal RNA is filed under the name uncultured bacterium. RNAcentral's name for it is "bacterial SSU rRNA". It matches the Rfam family "Bacterial small subunit ribosomal RNA", at positions 356 to 773 of the family's 1533-position model. The record is from RNAcentral.
AGGGAAUCUUCCGCAAUGGACGAAAGUCUGACGGAGCAACGCCGCGUGAGUGAAGAAGGCCUUCGGGUCGUAAAACUCUGUUGCCGGGGAAGAACAAGUGCCGUUCGAACAGGGCGGCGCCUUGACGGUACCCGGCCAGAAAGCCACGGCUAACUACGUGCCAGCAGCCGCGGUAAUACGUAGGUGGCAAGCGUUGUCCGGAAUUAUUGGGCGUAAAGCGCGCGCAGGCGGCUUCUUAAGGCUGAUGUGAAAUCUUGCGGCUCAACCGCAAGCGGUCAUUGGAAACUGGAAGACGUGAGUGCAGAAGAGGAGAGUGGAAUUCCACGUGUAGCGGUGAAAUGCGUAGAGAUGUGGAGGAACACCAGUGGCGAAGGCGACUCUCUGGGCUGUAACUGACGCUGAGGCGCGAAAGCGUGGGGAGCAAAC